UUUAGCCCGGCUGUGAGGCUUAACAGAUGUGGCAGAACUGAAGCAUGGAAAGUCUGUCCACGGGAGAAAUGUAUCAGCUAUCUUGAGACGUGAGAUGCCAACAGCUAUGAACCUCACUCCUCAUCUGAUACCUGCCAUGGGAAAAGCAUGUGAAAGCAGACUCAAGUUUUUAAGGUUCUACUCAGAAAGGCCUGUAUACUCUUGAGGUAAAGAGCAAUCAAUACUGUGACCCUCAGAAUUCUUCAAGCUAUUCUUGAGGCCCUUGUGCUCAAAUUCAAUUUCUACAAUGGUAAAAUUACAAAUCUAGUUGAAGUUGUUGAAUCUUUUUUUUUUCCUAUAGUAGUCAUUCUUUGUCCCUCGCUCUUUCCACUCUCUUUUUGUUCCUCCUCUCUUCCAAAAGUGAAUUAAUUUUCAAGUUCUUUUC
This 424-nucleotide long non-coding RNA is filed under the name Phasianus colchicus (ring-necked pheasant). Its description in RNAcentral is "lncRNA (ENSPCLG00000012805.1)". The record is from RNAcentral. Lineage: Eukaryota; Metazoa; Chordata; Aves; Galliformes; Phasianidae.